Molecule: ribosomal RNA, 393 nt
Filed under: uncultured bacterium
Lineage: Bacteria
Description: partial 16S ribosomal RNA
Rfam family: Bacterial small subunit ribosomal RNA
Source: RNAcentral
AUACGGAGGAUCCGAGCGUUAUCCGGAUUUAUUGGGUUUCAAGGGAGCGUAGGUGGAUUGUUAAGUCAGUUGUGAAAGUUUGCGGCUCAACCGUAAAAUUGCAGUUGAAACUGGCAGUCUUGAGUACAGUACAGGUGGGCGGAAUUCGUGGGGUAGCGGUGAAAUGCUUAGAUAUCACGAAGAACUCCGAUCGCGAAGGCAGCUCACCGGGCCGGAACUGACACUGAUGCUCGAAAGUGCGGGUAUCAAACAGGAUUAGAUACCCUGGUAGUCCGCACAGUAAACGAUGAAUACUCGCUGUUUGCGAUACACUGUAAGCGGCCAAGCGAAAGCGUUAAGUAUUCCACCUGGGGAGUACGCCGGCAACGGUGAAACUCAAAUGAAUUGACGGGG